GGAAAAGAAACCAACCGGGAUUGCCUUAGUAACGGCGAGUGAAGCGGCAAAAGCUCAAAUUUGAAAUCUGGUACCUUCGGUGCCCGAGUUGUAAUUUGGAGAGGGCAACUUUGGGGCCGUUCCUUGUCUAUGUUCCUUGGAACAGGACGUCAUAGAGGGUGAGAAUCCCGUGUGGCGAGGAGUGCGGUUCUUUGUAAAGUGCCUUCGAAGAGUCGAGUUGUUUGGGAAUGCAGCUCUAAGUGGGUGGUAAAUUCCAUCUAAAGCUAAAUAUUGGCGAGAGACCGAUAGCGAACAAGUACAGUGAUGGAAAGAUGAAAAGAACUUUGAAAAGAGAGUGAAAAAGUACGUGAAAUUGUUGAAAGGGAAGGGCAUUUGAUCAGACAUGGUGUUUUGUGCCCUCUGCUCCUUGUGGGUAGGGGAAUCUCGCAUUUCACUGGGCCAGCAUCAGUUUUGGUGGCAGGAUAAAUCCAUAGGAAUGUAGCUUGCCUCGGUAAGUAUUAUAGCCUGUGGGAAUACUGCCAGCUGGGACUGAGGACUGCGACGUAAGUCAAGGAUGCUGGCAUAAUGGUUAUAUGCCGCCCGUC
This 584-nucleotide ribosomal RNA is filed under the name Saccharomyces cerevisiae (brewer's yeast). RNAcentral's name for it is "eukaryotic LSU rRNA". It matches the Rfam family "Eukaryotic large subunit ribosomal RNA", at positions 55 to 653 of the family's 3401-position model. Lineage: Eukaryota; Fungi; Ascomycota; Saccharomycetes; Saccharomycetales; Saccharomycetaceae. The record is from RNAcentral.